This is a long non-coding RNA of Syngnathoides biaculeatus (alligator pipefish), 521 nucleotides long. RefSeq lists it as uncharacterized. Lineage: Eukaryota; Metazoa; Chordata; Actinopteri; Syngnathiformes; Syngnathidae. The transcript is spliced from 3 exons. The record is from RefSeq and is a predicted model, not a curated record.
GCAGCUGAACGGAACGCUGUCCAUCAGGAACUUUCCGUCCACGUUACUCAGGACGCGACUGCAAGGCAAACGCCAGCACGGCAUCACGUUGCACGUACUGCUGUCAUUCGCUGUGCGGUGAAACGCCACAGAUCAGUGACCAAUCACGGAGCGUGCCAGUCGCCAAGGGGGCGGGGACUACUGCGAGCGACACGUCGAACGCGGCUUCCUGCGCCUGGCCGGCCUGACAUUUGGAACGACGCUACGAUCCGGGUGUGACUGCCGCGUGUUGUGCUAAGCGAAUGUCUAGCGCCCCCCGAAUGGCUUCUCGGAGUCUGGCGUCGCCAUUCUCGCAGGGUUGCGACUCAGGAGUCGUUGGCUUUCCCACAGGCAAAGAUUUUGGGUAGCGGUUGCUGAUCCACUGAACCUCAAACCAGUCCCUGAAGUUGACAUUGCCACAGCAGCGGAACUCGAUCUGCGUCAAGUCCAGAGUGCGUUUCAUGAAGCAGCGUCCCGGGGUGUCCGUGUCCUUGUAGAAGCGG